ACAUUGGUGGUUCAGUGGUAGAACUCUCACUUUCCAUGCAGGAGACCUGAGUUUGACUCCCAGCGAAUGCA
RNAcentral lists this transfer RNA (71 nucleotides) under Loxodonta africana (African savanna elephant). It matches the Rfam family "tRNA". Rfam says of the family: Transfer RNA (tRNA) molecules are approximately 80 nucleotides in length. Their secondary structure includes four short double-helical elements and three loops (D, anti-codon, and T loops). Lineage: Eukaryota; Metazoa; Chordata; Mammalia; Proboscidea; Elephantidae. The record is from Rfam by way of RNAcentral.